GCCAGACUCCUACGGGAGGCAGCAGUGGGGAUAUUGCACAAUGGGGGGAACCCUGAUGCAGCGACGCCGCGUGGGUGAAGGAGCGUUUCGGCGCGUAAAGCCCUAUCGGCAGGGAAGAAGGAGGACGGUACCUGACUAAGAAGCCCCGGCUAACUACGUGCCAGCAGCCGCGGUAAUACGUAGGGGGCAAGCGUUAUCCGGAUUUACUGGGUGUAAAGGGGGCGCAGACGGCAGAGCAAGUCUGAAGUGAAAGCCCGCGGCCCAACUGCGGGACUGCUUUGGAAACUGCCCGGCUAGAGUGCUGGAGAGGUAAGCGGAAUUCCUAGUGUAGCGGUGAAAUGCGUAGAUAUCAGGAGGAACACCGGCGGCGAAGGCGGCCUGCUGGACCGUAACUGACGGUGAGGCGCGAAAGCGUGGGGAGCAAACAGGAUUAGAUACCCUUGUACAU
RNAcentral lists this ribosomal RNA (448 nucleotides) under uncultured bacterium. RNAcentral's name for it is "partial 16S ribosomal RNA". It matches the Rfam family "Bacterial small subunit ribosomal RNA", at positions 330 to 794 of the family's 1533-position model. The record is from RNAcentral.